UGCAGGUGUGGCCUGGGGGGGGGGAAGAGUCAGGAGAAGGAGGCCUCGUUAUCUCUUUCACUUGGCCUGCUUCCGGCUCCUGGACCUGAUCCAGGGAGGCCAGUGCUUCUGAGUAUAUACAGUAUGUGAUCACCGCAGAUGGGGACGACAGCCAAGAAAUUAAAAGACGCUUGCUCCUGGGGAGGAAAGCUGUGGAAAAUCUAGACAACAUACUAAAAAGCAGAGACAUCACCCUGCCAACAAAAAGAGAAAGUGGCUUGUGGAAGGAGUGAAAUAUCAGCCCUGUAAUCCCUUGCAUCAGGGUGGAAUUGGGACCAUGGAAUAGAGCUGAGCAUUUACUGACUGGAUGCCCUUCCCGAUGCUUAUGCAAAGUUCACAGUAGAUAUUUUCCCUUUGCACCCAGAGAGAGAAAUAUCUGCCACUACCUAGGAUUGAAUUCACAGCUUCCUGAUUGUGAGGCAGCUGCGAUUUCUCUGCCAGGACUGAUAAGAGCCAUGAAUCCACUGACUGAAGGCCAGCUCAUUGAUCCGAAGUGGGGAAGGAGACAGAACAGCUCAUUGCUCAUUGCAUACACGCUCCGGCCAGCUGGUCUUCACAUGCGUGGGAGUGCUGAAAACCGGAAGCUCAGCAUGCUGGGGAACUGCACUUCCAGUUUUUCUGGCACACGAGUACCAGGGAGCUGCUCUUCUGUUUUUAGGCACUCCCUUGUUUGCACAUGCGCUCCUGUUUUAGCAUUUGGUGCUGAAAAGGUUCAACAACACUGAACUAUGACAUUAGA
Long non-coding RNA from Ahaetulla prasina, 778 nucleotides. RefSeq lists it as uncharacterized. NCBI's taxonomy places the organism in Eukaryota, Metazoa, Chordata, Lepidosauria, Squamata, Colubridae. The transcript is spliced from 5 exons. The record is from RefSeq and is a predicted model, not a curated record.